GGCAAGAUGGCCGAGCGGUUAAGGCGGUAGACUCAAGAACGAUUCUCGCUCUUACAUGUUGCAAUGCAUGCGUAUUCUACUGGGGCAACCCGCGUGGGUUCGAAUCCCACUCUUGUCA
This is a non-coding RNA of Xylariaceae sp. FL0804, 118 nucleotides long. NCBI's taxonomy places the organism in Eukaryota, Fungi, Ascomycota, Sordariomycetes, Xylariales, Xylariaceae. The record is from the annotation of a GenBank genome assembly.